Molecule: long non-coding RNA, 1284 nt
Filed under: Mus musculus (house mouse)
Lineage: Eukaryota; Metazoa; Chordata; Mammalia; Rodentia; Muridae
Description: predicted gene 5089
Source: RNAcentral
AGGGAAGGGCAGCGGUCUCCGAAAUGUGCCCAAGGCCUGGUCUCUACUCCGGGGCGACGCCCGCGCACCGAUGCAUGCGGUGUGUGGUGCGGAACAGAAGAACAUCUACCUACACGCGUGUCCUGACCGUUUGAGCACGUCUCCUUCCUAAGCGAUCACACAGAGACCAGUUUGCCAGGAGCUGACACUACUACAAAUUCUUCCUCUUUCAGACCAGGGUGGAACUCAGGCUUCACACGUUUGAGGGAUGGCUGUGCCAGGUAAAACUGACUAAUCUCAACCUAUCUUUUGAGCACCAUUACCUGCCAAAGGGUCAUAGAAGAGAAUGAACAGGGAGCUCUCUCCUGGCAUCACCCUAUACCUUUCCAAAAAUGGAGACUUGGGUCUGAGGUAUAUUGACACCCCAAACUCUUGUUAACAGGUUGCUGCUUGCUACAAUUUACAUCAAUGAAGAAUGGAUCCCUCUGGACUGAGAAGGCUCAGGAAGCUUACAGUACGUGCUUGGAAUUUCUCAUGCUGAAGACUGAAUCUACUCUACAGGCGGCAAACACAACAUACAAAAGACAAGGAUGACAUCCAAAACUCUAUGACAACAAAUUAUUUCACAGGCUCUAAGCAAUUAAAAACAUUGCUAAGGCAGCCAGCAAGAGUGGCUCUGAGGGUCAAGGUCCUUGGGGCCAAGCUUGAGGACCUCAGUCAGAUCCCAAACCUCACUACAGAAAAGAGAACUGGCUUGUGCAAGUUGUCCUUUGACCUCCGCACAAGUCAGGUAUGCUCCAGCAUGCACCCCAUCACAAAUAAGUAUAAAAAAGUUUAGAAUAUUUCUAAAGGAAAAAUGGCUCUGAGCCACAUGAGCACUACAUUUGUCUCACAUCAAGGAGCAAAGGAUUUACAUUUGUGCAUUUCUCUGAAGAACUAUAAAUAAAUACCCAUCUCAACAACAAGUGCACAGUAGGGAAGAGUGGGGUUGUCUGCAACUUACAUUGAAUUUUAGAGAAUGAGUUCAUGGUGAACAAGAGGACAGACAGAUGAAGGCAGGCAGAAUUAACAUGUCAGUGAAAAAAUAUAACAGGGAAUACACAGCAUUCGCUGUAUGAUCUUACAAAUUUUCUGAUGUUCAAAAUUCUGGUAAUAAAACUGAAGGGAAAAAUCCUGAAAAGAUUUCUAAACUGUUCAUAUUUUGGAGAGCUGGUCAAUGAAUAAUAUAUACUUUUUUAAAAAGCCAAUUCUCUUUAACAUUUGCAUAUGUUUGGAUAUUUUCACAAUAAAAGAAAUUUUGAAGUU